AAACAGCGGAAUUAAACGAGCGAGAGAAAGCAAUUAAAACCAUUUAAACAUUUCCAAUACAAUUUCUUAAACAAAGACUACCCAGAACUGGUGUCAACUUCACAGACGGUCUAGUAAUACUAUAAAUAAGGUCUGAAAAUUAGAUAUAAUACUAUUUAUCAAAUACGUAAAUGAAACAGGAUGAAAGGAUAGGAGAAGACGCCAAGGCCUGCGGACGCCUGCAGGACUACCUAAGAAUCUCCGACUGGGCUGAAGGCACCCUCCCAAGCUAAGGUCUGAAUGUUGCGACUCCCGGAUCUGCACACAGUGCAGAGUGUAGUAUCAGCACAACCGACCACAUGUGCUGGUAAGUGCCUAGCCUAACCUCAGCGAAGUAUUGUGACGAGGCUAGGACCAUACUACCAAACAAACCUGUGCAGUUAAAGCAUAUAUAUGUAGCAUGUAAUAAUAAAGGAAACUAGUAGUUAAAGAUGGGAAGGGGACAUGCUGUGAGGGAAUAUCAUUUACCAACAGUAACUCAGGAGAAAAGCAUAAAGAACAAUUAAAAAUUCACAGCAGAAAGAAUAAGGAAAUAGUAACAAAUCAAUAUCCACUUUUAUCCUUUACAGUUGCGGCGCGUAACCCGAUCCAAAUCAUAAAAACACUGUUGCGACAUGCAACCCGAUCCAUAUCAUAUAUCACAGUUGCGGCGUGCAACCCGAUCCAAAUAUAAUAUUGUUGUGGCGUGCAACCCGAUCCAAAUAUAAUAUUGUUGCAGCGUGCAACCCGAUCCCUAUAUACAAUUCAGCACCAAUCCCAAAAGAGUACCGACAAGGGAACAAUAAGGAAACAAAAAUAUUCCGGUAAGGGAAAUGACAAUAAGAAGUAAAUACGUCCCGGCAAGGGAAUAAGCUAUAACCAAACUCGUUCCAACAUUUAACUACACCAAAAGGAACCUCAUCUAGCACCAAUACUCAACCAUAAGCAAUUUCCACGAGAUUAAUCAUAAUUCUUGCCCAACAUAGAGAAUCAACAACUUAGGCAUGUGUAAUACUUAUUAAGAACAUAAUGACUUCAAUUUAAGACUCAUGGGCAUGCUUGACACCAACAUAUAGAUACUCGUCACCAUGCCUAUACGUCGUACUCAAUAAAUAACACAUAGCAAAUAGGACACAACUCCUAAUCCCGCAACUUAAGGUUAGACCAAACAUGUACCUCGAUGCCACGAACACAAUUCAAGCCUCAACUAUCACUUUACCUCUUGAUUCCACCACCAAUUCGCUCGUAUCUAGCCACAAGUUACUUAACUGUAUCAAUAAAUGCUAAAUGAAUCAAUUCUAAUGCAUGAAAGUAAGUUUUUCAAUCUUUUCCCCAAAAAGUCAAAAAUCGACCAUGGUCCCACAUGGUCAAAACCCGAGGUUCGAACCAAAAUCCGAUUACCCAUUCCCCCUGUCACACCUCCUUUUUCCUACACCCCAAAAGGGGCAUAUAGGGAAUUUUUCCAAUUUAAGUGACAAUCGAAACGGGAUUAUUUAUUUAUUAAAUUCAGAGUCGCCACUUGGGAUAAUUUUAUGGUGUCCCUAGUCACCGGUUCAAAUCCCGAAUCGAGGAAAAAAUUGACUCUGUUUAACAGUCCGCGCACCAGAAAUUUGGGUAAGGAAUUCUGUUAACCUGGAAGAAGGUGUUAGGCAUUCCCGAGUUCUGUGGUUCUAGCACGGUCGCUCAACUGUUAUAAUUGGCCUAUUAUCUCAUUUUAACACAUGUUUUAGCGUAUAGUUCAAUUUUAACUUUAAACCGCUUUUAUUUAUUUUUUAGGAAAAUUGCAACGUCAUUUAAAAUAUGUCUUGAACCAUGUCACAUAAAUGCACUCGCAGUCCGCAACACAUUUUAUAUAACAUUGUUGAAAUUUGGAUUUGGAUCACAUAAAUGCGCACCCGAGUUUAGGGAGAUGAAUUAUUAACUAGCACGCCUAAAGCAAGCUACGCAUUUGAAUUAUUUUCCUAAUCUUUGAGAUUGUUGCGAGGCCAAAUUUAUGAACAAGAUAUUAUUGGGGAAAAUAGGCUAGCUAACAUGAUCUAUUACUUGGCCAGAUUCCUUAUAGUUCAAAACUCACCCUAUGGCCCAUUCUUAUCCCUUACCAAGAAAGAAACAAUUCCAAUUUUCCAUCUACCAACUUAAAAGCAUUUAUUCAAGAACCAAGACUACAUACAUCACAAUCGAAAUAAAACUAAUUAAAAACAAUUUAAAUGAAAAACUAAGACAUGCUACUCAAACAACAUAGAAUCAUCAAUUAACACGCGCACCAAGCUAUUAUAACACAAUGAAAUGAGAAUAAAAUUGAGAAAUGAACCUUUUUAUUGAUGAACAAAGCUGAAAAUUGCAAAUCAAUCGGGCUAAACAAAGCAACAAUCCUUGGACCGAAAUACCGCAAUUAACAAACCGGAACCUCGACUGACUUAGCCCUUUUCGGGCUAAUUGAAAAGCAAAGUCUUUUUCAAUAUUGUCAGUGGGUCCAACCUCUUUAUCAAUUGCACAAAAUG
RNAcentral lists this long non-coding RNA (2519 nucleotides) under Nicotiana tabacum (common tobacco). RNAcentral describes it as "long non-coding RNA (NTAB_LNC014451)". The record is from RNAcentral. Lineage: Eukaryota; Viridiplantae; Streptophyta; Magnoliopsida; Solanales; Solanaceae.